Molecule: long non-coding RNA, 1674 nt
Organism: Aethina tumida (small hive beetle)
Lineage: Eukaryota; Metazoa; Arthropoda; Insecta; Coleoptera; Nitidulidae
Exons: 3
Source: RefSeq, a predicted model, not a curated record
AGCAAUUUCAUUUUUAACCUCAAUCAAUAUGUGUACAUUUUUAAACAUUGAAGCUAAAUUUAAAACUGAGAAACCAUAAAAAAGUGGAAAAAUCGAAUGGAACUGAUAAACUUUGUGGUUAAUUAAAAUAAAUAUGCGAAUGUAGAUGGAAUUUUGUCUAUGGAAUAGUCAAGGAAUUACGUUAACUUCAAAUGUAAGUAACAUAUAUGAAUAUUAGAGAAUUGCCCUACAAUCUAUACAAAAAUGGAACAAUAGAAGACAGAAAUGGAAGUUGAAGACAUAGACAUCUACUGAAGCCAAGCCAUUCGCUUGAGACCUAUUCAAUCCUCAAACUCUUUUGAAGAACUACCCUACACUCUAUACAUAUAUGGAAUAAAAAAAAACAUAUAUUGAAUCUCAGCUAAGUAAUCUGUUUGAGGCCCAUUUAACCCUCAAACUCUGUUCAAAUACAUAAUCAAAACUAGUACAUAAUUUCAAAUUGAUAUAAUUUUAUUGUAGCGGAACUGCCAUACACUCUACAAUUAAAUGAAAUAAAUUGAAUAUGUAGACAUUAUGGACAUGUACUUGAACCUUGAGCCAAGUUGUCUGCUUCAGACCCCUUCAACUCUCAAAUUCUGAACAAAUACAAAACAGGAUGAGUACAUAAUUUCAAAUUGAUAUCAUUAUAUAUCAGAAGAACUGUCCGAUACUCACUACACAUAAAUUGUAUAAAAAAGAAUAUAAAUUGAAGACGAUGACAUUUCUGGCAUCUACUUGAACCCUAAGCCAAGUUGUCUGCUUGAGCCCCCUUCAACUCUCAAAUUCUAACUGCCAUACACACUUCACACCAAUGAUAUAAAAAAGGAUAUAAAUUGAGGAUGAAGACAUUUCAAGCGUCUACUUGAACCCCACAUCAAGUCAUCUGCUUGAGGACCCUUCAACCCUCAAAUUCUGAACAAAUACUGAACAGUAUGAGUAUAUAAUUUGAAAUUGAUGUCAUUAUAUAUCACAAGAACUGUCCUAUACUCACUACACAUAAAUUGUAUAAAAAAGGAUAUAAAUUGAAAAUGUAGACAUUACUGGCAUCUACUUGAACCCUAAGCCAAGACAUCUGCUUAAGCCCCCUCCAACUCUCAAGUUCUGUACAAAUACAUAAUCAAUACUGGUACAUAAUUUAAAAUUGAUAUCAUUUUUUUGAAGAACUGUCAUACACAUUACACACCAAUGAUUUAAAAAAGGAUAUAAAUUGAGGAUGAAGACAUUACAAGCAUCUACUUGAACCCCAUAUUAAGUCAUCUGCUUGAGGACCCUUCAACCCUCAAAUUCUGAACAAAUACUUAACAGUAUGAGUAUAUAAUUUGAAAUUGAUGUCAUUAUAUAUCACAAGAACUGUCCUAUACUCACUACACAUAAAUUGUAUAAAAAAGGAUACAAAUUGAAGAUGAAGACAUUACAGGCAUCUACUUGAAUUCCAAAUCAAGUCAUCAGCUUGAGCCUCCUUCAAUUUUCAAAUUCUGUACAAAUACAUAAUCAAGUACAUAAUUUAAACUUAAUAUCAUUUUUUUGAAGAAGAACUGCUGUAUACACUUCACAUCAAUGGUAUAAAAAAGGAUAUAAAUUGAAGAUGAAGACAUUAGAUGCAUCUACUCGAACCACAAAUCAAGUCAUCUGCUUGAGGACCAUUUGACUCACAAA